This 344-nucleotide ribosomal RNA is filed under the name uncultured Exiguobacterium sp. RNAcentral's name for it is "bacterial SSU rRNA". It matches the Rfam family "Bacterial small subunit ribosomal RNA", at positions 1093 to 1439 of the family's 1533-position model. Lineage: Bacteria; Bacillati; Bacillota; Bacilli; Caryophanales. The record is from RNAcentral.
CGAGCGCAACCCCUAUCCUUAGUUGCCAGCAUUCAGUUGGGCACUCUAGGGAGACUGCCGGUGACAAACCGGAGGAAGGUGGGGAUGACGUCAAAUCAUCAUGCCCCUUAUGAGUUGGGCUACACACGUGCUACAAUGGACGGUACAAAGGGCAGCGAGACCGCGAGGUGGAGCCAAUCCCAUAAAGCCGUUCCCAGUUCGGAUUGCAGGCUGCAACUCGCCUGCAUGAAGUCGGAAUCGCUAGUAAUCGCAGGUCAGCAUACUGCGGUGAAUACGUUCCCGGGUCUUGUACACACCGCCCGUCACACCACGAGAGUUUGCAACACCCGAAGCCGGUGAGUAAC